GAUGAACGCUGGCGGCGUGCUUAACACAUGCAAGUCGAACGGGAUCCAAGGGGUGCUUGCACUUUUUGGUGAGGGUGGCGAACGGGUGAGUAACACGUGAGUAACCUGUCCUUUUCUUUGGGAUAAGCAUUCGAAAGGGUGUUUAAUACCUUAUGUUCUGUCUGCCUCGCAUGGGGUGGGUGGGAAAGGCUUUGGCCGGAUUUGGGUGGGCUCGCGGUCUAUCAGCUUGUUGGUGGGGUGAUGGCUUACCAAGGCUUUGACGGGUAGCCGGCCUGAGAGGGUGGUCGGUCACAUUGGGACUGAGAUACGGCCCAGACUCCUGCGGGAGGCAGCAGUGGGGGAUAUUGCACAAUGGGCGAAAGCCUGAUGCAGCGACGCCGCGUGGGGGAUGAAGGCCUUCGGGUUGUAAACUUCUGUUGCUCUGAACAAGGCAUGCCAGUGGGUGUGUUGAGUGUAGGGGUGGAUUAGCGCCGGCUAACUACGUG
RNAcentral lists this ribosomal RNA (485 nucleotides) under uncultured bacterium. RNAcentral's name for it is "partial 16S ribosomal RNA". It matches the Rfam family "Bacterial small subunit ribosomal RNA", at positions 28 to 507 of the family's 1533-position model. The record is from RNAcentral.